This 220-nucleotide long non-coding RNA is filed under the name Lathyrus oleraceus (garden pea). Its description in RNAcentral is "Pisum sativum (pea) long non-coding RNA (PSAT_LNC019707)". Lineage: Eukaryota; Viridiplantae; Streptophyta; Magnoliopsida; Fabales; Fabaceae. The record is from RNAcentral.
CUCUGGGACUGUUGCCAUCUCUAUCAGUGGACAAGCUCUGGAAUGUACCUGAGAAAUGAUAUGCAUGCAGAGAUUAGUUUCUUUUUUUUUCUUUUCUUUUCUUUCUUUUUUUUCUUUAUCUUUUUUAUUGCGUUUCUUUUGAAAAAUAAAUAUGCUAUGAUGCAAAUGAUGCAGACUGGACUGGCUGGUUGUGCAAUCUCUGAUCACUAGGUCGAAGCUU